GAACCGUGCGAACGUUAUUCGGAAUCAUUGGGCUUAAAGGGCGCGUAGGCGGCGGUGUAAGUUGGAAGUGAAAUCCCAUCGGCUCAACCGUGGAAUCGCUCCCAGUACUGCAUCGCUCGAGGGGGAUAGGGGUCCGCGGAACUACCGGUGGAGCGGUGAAAUGUGUUGAUAUCGGUGGGAACGCCAGUGGCGAAAGCGGCGGACUUGACCCUUCCUGACGCUGAGUGCGCGAAAGCUAGGGGAGCAAACGGGAUUAGAUACCCCGGUAGUCCUAGCCUUAAACGUUGGGUACUGAGUAGAAAAGGGUCCGAUACCCUCUUCUGCUGGAGCGAAAGUGUUAAGUACCCCGCCUGGGGAGUAUGGUCGCAAGGCUGAA
Molecule: ribosomal RNA, 376 nt
Filed under: uncultured bacterium
Lineage: Bacteria
Description: bacterial SSU rRNA
Rfam family: Bacterial small subunit ribosomal RNA
Source: RNAcentral